UACGGGGGGGGCAAGCGUUGUUCGGAAUUACUGGGCGUAAAGCGUGCGCAGGCGGUUUUGUAAGUCUGUCGUGAAAUCCCCGGGCUCAACCUGGGAAUGGCGAUGGAGACUGCAAGGCUAGAGUUUGGCAGAGGGGGGUAGAAUUCCACGUGUAGCAGUGAAAUGCGUAGAUAUGUGGAGGAACACCGAUGGCGAAGGCAGCCCCCUGGGUCAAGACUGACGCUCAUGCACGAAAGCGUGGGGAGCAAACAGG
This 253-nucleotide ribosomal RNA is filed under the name uncultured prokaryote. RNAcentral's name for it is "partial 16S ribosomal RNA". It matches the Rfam family "Bacterial small subunit ribosomal RNA", at positions 524 to 776 of the family's 1533-position model. The record is from RNAcentral.